GAUGAACGCUGGCGGCGUGCUUAACACAUGCAAGUCGAACGGUGAACACGGAGCUUGCUCUGUGGGAUCAGUGGCGAACGGGUGAGUAACACGUGAGCAACCUGCCCCUGACUCUGGGAUAAGCGCUGGAAACGGCGUCUAAUACUGGAUAUGUGACGUGAUCGCAUGGUCUGCGUCUGGAAAGAAUUUCGGUUGGGGAUGGGCUCGCGGCCUAUCAGCUUGUUGGUGAGGUAAUGGCUCACCAAGGCGUCGACGGGUAGCCGGCCUGAGAGGGUGACCGGCCACACUGGGACUGAGACACGGCCCAGACUCCUACGGGAGGCAGCAGUGGGGAAUAUUGCACAAUGGGCGCAAGCCUGAUGCAGCAACGCCGCGUGAGGGAUGACGGCCUUCGGGUUGUAAACCUCUUUUAGCAGGGAAGAAGCGAAAGUGGCGGUACCUGCAGAAAAAGCGCCGGCUAACUACGUG
Molecule: ribosomal RNA, 468 nt
Filed under: uncultured bacterium
Lineage: Bacteria
Description: partial 16S ribosomal RNA
Rfam family: Bacterial small subunit ribosomal RNA
Source: RNAcentral